RNAcentral lists this ribosomal RNA (252 nucleotides) under uncultured bacterium. RNAcentral's name for it is "partial 16S ribosomal RNA". It matches the Rfam family "Bacterial small subunit ribosomal RNA", at positions 524 to 775 of the family's 1533-position model. The record is from RNAcentral.
UACGAAGGGGGCUAGCGUUGCUCGGAAUUACUGGGCGUAAAGGGCGCGUAGGCGGACAGUUUAGUCGGGGGUGAAAUCCCAGGGCUCAACCCUGGAACUGCCUUCGAUACUGACUGUCUUGAGUUCGGGAGAGGUGAGUGGAAUGCCGAGUGUAGAGGUGAAAUUCGUAGAUAUUCGGCGGAACACCAGUGGCGAAGGCGACUCACUGGCCCGAUACUGACGCUGAUGCGCGAAAGCGUGGGGAGCAAACAG